This 465-nucleotide ribosomal RNA is filed under the name uncultured Rhodocyclaceae bacterium. RNAcentral's name for it is "bacterial SSU rRNA". It matches the Rfam family "Bacterial small subunit ribosomal RNA", at positions 917 to 1381 of the family's 1533-position model. The record is from RNAcentral. Lineage: Bacteria; Pseudomonadati; Pseudomonadota; Betaproteobacteria; Rhodocyclales; Rhodocyclaceae.
GACGGGACCGCACAAGCGUGGAUGAUGUGAUUAAUUCGAUGCAACGCGAAAACCUUACCUACCCUUGACAUGUCCGGAAUCCGAAGAGAUUUGGGAGUGCUCACAAGAGAACCGGAACACAGGUGCUGCAUGGCUGUCGUCAGCUCGUGUCGUGAGAUGUUGGGUUAAGUCCCGCAACGAGCGCAACCCUUGUCAUUAGUUGCCAUCAUUUGGUUGGGCACUCUAAUGAGACUGCCGGUGACAAACCGGAGGAAGGUGGGGAUGACGUCAAGUCCUCAUGGCCCUUAUGGGUAGGGCUUCACACGUCAUACAAUGGUCGGUACAGAGGGUUGCCAACCCGCGAGGGGGAGCUAAUCCCACAAAGCCGAUCGUAGUCCGGAUCGCAGUCUGCAACUCGACUGCGUGAAGUCGGAAUCGCUAGUAAUCGUGGAUCAGCAUGUCACGGUGAAUACGUUCCCGGGUCUU